Molecule: long non-coding RNA, 292 nt
Organism: Eucalyptus grandis
Lineage: Eukaryota; Viridiplantae; Streptophyta; Magnoliopsida; Myrtales; Myrtaceae
Exons: 3
Source: RefSeq, a predicted model, not a curated record
AUCAGGGGCUUCUAUUUGUAUUUGUGGUGACCAAAUUUGUUCCACAUCCACUGCAGGAUCCAACAUUUGGAGAAAACUUCUCAUAGGUGGAGCGCCUGUUAUUGGUGUGUCAAUAUUUGCAAUUGCCAUCAUUUUCACAUGGAAGGUUCUACUCUUCAAGAACAAGAAAGAUCACGAAGUUGAGCAACUGAUAGGAAUCCUUGCUCCGAGAAGAUACCGAUAUAUGACAUUUGAAGAAAAUGACAAAAAUCAUUUUCAGAGAAACUUGGUCAAGGAGGAUUCGGUGAAGUGU